This 908-nucleotide ribosomal RNA is filed under the name uncultured archaeon. RNAcentral describes it as "bacterial SSU rRNA". It matches the Rfam family "Archaeal small subunit ribosomal RNA", at positions 1 to 922 of the family's 1478-position model. The record is from RNAcentral.
UUCCGGUUGAUCCUGCCGGAGGCUACCGCUAUUGGAAUCCGAUUAAGCCAUGCGAGUCGAGAGGGUUUAGCCCCUCGGCGGACGUCUCAGUAACACGUGGAUAAUCUGCCCUUGGGUGGGGGAUAAACUCGGAAACCUGAGUAUAAUACCCCAUAGGUCUAGGAUGCUGGAAUGCUUCUAGGCUCAAAGCUCCGGCGCCCAAGGAUGAGUCUGCGACCUAUCAGGCUGUAGUGGGUGUAAAGGACCCACUAACCUUCGACGGGUACGGGCCUUGAGAGAGGUUGCCCGGAGUUGGACUCUGAGACACGAGUCCAGGCCCUACGGGGUGCAGCAGGCGCGAAAACUUCACAAUGUGGGAAACCGCGAUGAGGGGAUUCCAAGUGCUAACACUUUGUGUUAGCUGUUCACCUGCCUAAAAAGCUGGUGAAGUAAGGGCCGGGUAAGACGGGUGCCAGCCGCCGCGGUAAUACCUGCGGCCCGAGUGGUGGUCGUUAUUAUUGAGCCUAAAGCGUCCGUAGCCGGUUCAGUAAAUCUCUGGGUAAAUCGGGCAGCUCAACUGUCCGAAUUCCGGAAAGACUGCUGAACUUGGGACCGGGGGAGGUUGGAGGUACUCCUGGGGUAGGGGUGAAAUCCUGUAAUCCUAGGGGGACCACCAGUGGCGAAGGCGUCCAACCAAAACGGCUCCGACGGUAAGGGACGAAGCCCUGGGGCGCAAACGGGAUUAGAUACCCCGGUAGUCCAGGGUGUAAACGCUGCACGCUUGGUGUUGGGGGUCCUACGAGGGCGCCCAGUGCCGGAGAGAAGUUGUUAAGCCUGCCGCUUGGGGAGUACGUCCGCAAGGAUGAAACUUAAAGGAAUUGGCGGGGAGCACAGCACGGGUGGAGCGUGCGGUCAAUUGAUCACGCGGG